CAUGUAGGCGGAUUAAUAAGUUUGAAGUGAAAUCCUAUAGCUUAACUAUGGAACUGCUUUGAAAACUGUUAAUCUAGAAUGUGGGAGAGGUAGAUGGAAUUUCUGGUGUAGGGGUAAAAUCCGUAGAGAUCAGAAGGAAUACCGAUUGCGAAGGCGAUCUACUGGAACAUUAUUGACGCUGAGAUGCGAAAGCGUGGGGAGCAAACA
Molecule: ribosomal RNA, 207 nt
Filed under: uncultured bacterium
Lineage: Bacteria
Also listed under: 1 other name
Description: partial 16S ribosomal RNA
Rfam family: Bacterial small subunit ribosomal RNA
Source: RNAcentral